AGAGUUUGAUCCUGGCUCAGGACGAACGCUGGCGGCGUGCCUAACACAUGCAAGUCGAACGGAGUAGAGACUUCGGUUUUUACUUAGUGGCGAACGGGUGAGUAACGCGUGAGAAACCUGCCUUUCAGUGGGGGACAACAGUUGGAAACGACUGCUAAUACCGCAUAAUGUAUCGAUAGGGCAUCCUAAUGAUACCAAAGAUUUAUUGCUGAAAGAUGGUCUCGCGUCUGAUUAGCUAGUUGGUGAGGUAACGGCUCACCAAGGCGACGAUCAGUAGCCGGUCUGAGAGGAUGAACGGCCACAUUGGGACUGAGAUACGGCCCAGACUCCUACGGGAGGCAGCAGUGGGGAAUAUUGGGCAAUGGGGGAAACCCUGACCCAGCAACGCCGCGUGAAGGAAGAAGGCCUUCGGGUUGUAAACUUCUUUUACCAGGGACGAAGAACAUGACGGUACCUGGAGAAAAAGCAACGGCUAACUACGUGCCAGCAGCCGCGGUAAUACGUAGGUUGCAAGCGUUGUCCGGAUUUACUGGGUGUAAAGGGCGUGUAGGCGGAGAUGCAAGUUGGGAGUGAAAUCCCGGGGCUCAACCCCGGAACUGCUUUCAAAACUGCAUCCCUUGAGUAUCGGAGAGGCAAGCGGAAUUCCUAGUGUAGCGGUGAAAUGCGUAGAUAUUAGGAGGAACACCAGUGGCGAAGGCGGCUUGCUGGACGACAACUGACGCUGAGGCGCGAAAGCGUGGGGAGCAAACAGGAUUAGAUACCCUGGUAGUCCACGCUGUAAAUGAUGAAUACUAGGUGUGGGAGGAAUGACCCCUUCCGUGCCGCAGUUAACACAAUAAGUAUUCCACCUUGGGGAGUACCACCCGCAAGGUUGAAACUCAAAGGGAAUUGACGGGGGCCCGCACAAGCCAGUGGAUUAAGUGGUUUAAUUUUAUGCAAGGAGAAGAACCUUAUUAGUACUUGACAUCCAAAUAAUGAAGUAGAGAUACAUUAGUUGCCCUUCGGGGAAAGUUGAGACAGGGGGUGCAUCGUUGUCGUCAGUUCGUCUCGUGAGAUUUCGGGAGAAGUCCGGCCACGAGCUCAACCCCUAUGGUUAGGUUCUUCGCAUGAGCCCUGUAGCAAGUCGUCCCUUGACAAAACGGAGGCAUCCCCGGAUGACGUCUAAUCAUCAUGCC
RNAcentral lists this ribosomal RNA (1175 nucleotides) under uncultured bacterium. RNAcentral's name for it is "bacterial SSU rRNA". It matches the Rfam family "Bacterial small subunit ribosomal RNA", at positions 8 to 1199 of the family's 1533-position model. The record is from RNAcentral.